RNAcentral lists this long non-coding RNA (5911 nucleotides) under Daucus carota (carrot). RNAcentral's name for it is "long non-coding RNA (DCAR_LNC007350)". Lineage: Eukaryota; Viridiplantae; Streptophyta; Magnoliopsida; Apiales; Apiaceae. The record is from RNAcentral.
ACCAAUAAUGGUCACCGGGAGGAUGUUAUGUCCGGGGCCCGGGAUAAGGAUUCUAUUGUCUUGGGAACUGUAAAAGUUAGCGUAAGAGGCUAGUAAACCUAGUCCAGCUGUUGAGGCCAAUUAGAUGCCUAGUGGGUACCCUAGUGUCGUUACCGGUGGGACUUAGAUCCAGUGCCCGGAACGAUCCGUCGUCGGUGGGACUUAGAUCCAGUGCCCGAGACGGAGGACUUUACGUGGCUGAUCACCCGUAUUGUCAGAUGAGUUGAAAGGAAGUUAAUAAUUAAAUAUUCUUAUAAAUGGACUAUAUUCUGAUAAAAGAAUAGUUUGGACCCAUUGUAAUCGAAAUUUUUAUAAAAAAGGGUGGCAGUAUGUAAUUGAACUUCAAUUAAUUUGAGGGGAACCUAGAACUGAAUCUCUGUUACAAAUAUUUGAUUUAAUUCAGAUAGUAUGGCAUUGUUAAAAAUUUAGUGUUAUACUUGCUGAGCAUUGCUCACUCUUGCUAUUAUUUCUAACCCUUGCAGCUAAGGAUUAAGGUGGUCACCUGGGUAAGCUGCGCGUAAGAGUAAUGCUAGGCGAGACUGCUAGGGAGGUGGCUGCGAGACUAGUAUGGUUAGAGUUGAAUUAUUUCAAUUCAGUUGUAGAUGGUUUUUAUUUAUUGGUUAUCAGUUAUCCUUCUUACCGAAGUUUAGCUGAUAACGUAGUUUAAGUUGUAAAAAGAUUUUAUAGUUUGGGUUCUGGUUUCAAUGCUGUAACCUAUUUGCGAUCCUGUUGUUAGGGGGUCAAAGUGAUUUUGAUUUAAAUCUCUUUUAAAAAUCCAGAUUUUGAAAUAUAUGUUUUACCUUCUUCCGGAAAUACAGGUUUAAAUUGAUUUUUGUCCACGUGGCACCAGAUCCAGACCCCCGGAUCUGAGGGAUGUCACAGUUGGUAUCAGAGCUGUAGGUUAUAAGUUAUUGAAAUCAGAAUAUAGAUUGUAAUAGAAGUGUGUUUAGUGGAACCUCAUAUAGAGGUAAGUUGAGACUAUUGGAUAUAGUCUUUGUCUAUGGAACUGAGAUGGAGUUAGAAUAUUGAUUCUGAGUAAUCAUUUGGUAUAUCAUAGUUCCUAACUCUAGAACUAAUGAGUUGGAUAUCGGGAGAGACAUGAUAGCAUACCUUUAGUUUCCAAUCUUCUAGAGCUUGAGGCUGACUUUCUGAGUAAUCAGUGCCCGCUAGACUUGUGGAUUGACAUGUCUAACCUAGAAUGUUCCUUAUCAUCUCUACCAUUCCUAGAGGGUUGGAUAGAGGGUUAUCUAUUGUUGCUUAUAGAGACAUAUGGAUUUGGUAGAUGAGUAUGAGAUUGGUGAUGAGAAGUCAGGAGUGUAGUUCUCAAAUUGAGAAUUUAUGUAGAAUCCAUGUUAGAUUAUUUGAUAUAGUACCUAUUAGUAGGUUUGAGCGUCAACGCUCUACAAGGCUGAUUGUAUAAAGCUGGACAUGACUUCUGACAACACCAAGCUCGAUAGGACCUACUAACAUGGAUAUCGGUGACGGAAUCUAUAGAGACUAUUAUAAGUCAACGAUAAUAUAUGCAAGCGAUCACCAAGAGUGCUGAAAAGAAUUCUUGGAAUCAAGAUAAGCCAUCAGAGGAAUCAAGUAAGAAGACACUUGUGAGAAUCUUGGCAAUACCUUCUUCAAUUGAUUGAUUAAAUUGAUUAUUUCUCUAUCAGUGAUUGUUUUAACAUCUCUUUCAGCGAGACGUUCAUUAAAGAGAAUAUUUCUCUUUAAGAGUAUAUUUUUCACUCUUGAAAUUAUAGAAUGAUGCCAGUGCUUGUGGUAUCAUUUCUGAUCACUUUUCUUUCGAAUUCAGCACAUUUGGAAUCUAUUCCCUAUUUGAACCCCAGGUGCGCAUGAAACUUUUCUCCAAUUAAAGGCAACCAUUGUUAAGUUAAUUAUGAACCCUUUUAUAUUUUUCUACUCUAACUGAGAUGAACAACUCUAAUUAUAGAGGACACAAAGACUCCCUGUCUGUGUGAUAGGAGUUGGAUGGGACGUCAUCACUUGUGUGUUGUGCAUUACAAGAAGGCUAGUAGUAUCCUCAUUUAGAUACGCAACAUUAUAUCAGGAGGAAACGGUACUAAAGAAUAAAGAAAUAUUACGUUUUAGUCUUCUCUUCGUUGAUUCCGAGGACGGAAUCCUUUUAAGGGGGGUAGAUUGUGAUAAUCCGGAUUUUUCGAAAUAUUUUAUUUUAUGAUUUUCUAAAAGAUGAGGAAUAAAAUUUUUAUAUUUUAUUCCCAGUCCAGUGAAAUAUCGAGAAUUUUAUUAUUUGAAAUAUUAUGUGGAUAGUAUUUUCAGGUGUAGCUUGAAAAGUUUUUGCAGUUAUGUGAUUUAACUGUGGUUCAUGUUAAAUAUGCUUCUUAUUUGGUUGUUUUAUUUGUGUGAGCAGUCAGUUUAGAAUUUUGAUUUAUUAUAUCCUUUUUAAUAAAUCAAAUUUAUCCUUUGAUUUUAAAAUCAAAGUUUGUUUUAUUUGAGCCUCAUGAUUUUAUCCGAUUUAAAUUACUAAAAUAUUCAAACACUAGUAUUUUUAUAUUUCUGUCGGAUUCAGAAAUAUUUGAAAGUUGCAAAUGAUUAUUUUAAUUAUUUGUUAAUUAACAAUGAUUUUGAGCAUUAUUUGUAAAAAUAGAGAAAGGCUGUAAAAAUAUUAUUUUUACAGAUAUUGUGUAUUCGGGAUUUCUAGCUAGAAUAUCUAGAAUUUUUAUUUUAUGAUUUUGGAAAUAUUUGUGGACUCAUAUAUUUGUUUUGUUAUUAAAAUAGCGUUUUGAUUUAAUAAUUGGGGAUGUGAGUUUUAGUCAUAAAAAUGAUAUAAACAAAACAAAAAGAAAAAGAGGAGCAGGCGGUGCAAGAAGGGGGAAACUCGUGGGGAGAGAGAGCACGGGUUAGGGUUUAGGGAGUUUGGGGCGAUCAAAUCUUUCAGAUCAAACAGGUAAAUAACUUGUUGUGUAUUUAUAUACCUAUGUGUGUUAUUAUGCUAUAUUGCGUUGGUAUAAAUCAGAGGAGAAGAGUUUGGGAGAGAUUGAUCGGAGUUAUGGCAGUGUGUUGGGGGCGACGGCGGGGGCUUGUCGUCGGUGGGUUGCGGAGGUGAACAGAGUAGAAAGGAUGAGUGCUGUGAGUAGAAAGGUCAGUGGAGAGGCAGAAUUUAGGCCGAUGUUGAGUUGCUCAGUCUCUGCAGUCACGGUGAGGGGAGGCUCAGGCGCUACUGGAUAGAGUAGUGAUGGUGUAGCUGCGAGGAAAUAAGGAGAUGGGGCAGUUCGUGCUUGUGGUGUUGUAGCGAGGUGAUCGGACUUCUUGCCGGCUGUGCGAGUGAGAGUGAGAGUGAGAGAGAGAGAGAGAGAGAGAUGGCUGAGUAGGUGUAUUUUUUGUGUAUAUAUAUGUGUUUAUACCACUGUUGGCUGUGAUUGUGUUAACUGAUUUUGUUAGUUUCGAGUCUUGCGUAUGUCGGGUCUUGUUUGAUUUUGAUUGAUUAGUUUCUGCUUUGUUGCCCUUGUUUCAAGCACGGUUUAGGAUAAUUCAAAAGCAUAUCAAGUGAUGAUUUCUGCUAUGAAAAUGUUUAACUUAGAGUCUAGUUUAAGUACGAAAAAGAAUUUCAAAGUUUCGUUAAACGAGCUAAAGGAUAUGUAUGUUUUAGUGUGAGUUGAGCAGAAAAUUCUGGGCAGGUGUGUCCUAUUCUAGGCCCUGUUUUGCUACUUAAAACUUGAGCUUUGCUUCUGAAAUUUUUACUGGAGUUAGAUGUUAGUAUCUGGAAUAUGUCAUUAAAAUUUUAUACAGACAGACCAAAUUUUCUAUUUAUUAAAAUUCAUAGCGUGGGGCUGAUUCUGCAGGACAGAUUCAGGUUCCUGACUUGCAGGUCCUGUUUUACUCCCUUAAACAUGGAAUUUGGUUCUGAAAUUUUUAUGGUAGAUUGGAAUAAUGUUUAGGAGUGUCUCAUAAAAAUUUCGUAUUAAAAUGAUAAAUUCUCAAUUUAUUAAAAAUCUUAGAGUGAGGGCUGUUUGAACUAUUUGCUCUAGUCUUCUUUCUCUGUUAGUGCAUUGUAUGGGGUUAUACUUGGAUAAUUGUAUAUGAUCGAUUAUUAAAUGGAUUGGCUCGGUUAACCUUGUAUAUCUAAUUAAACGUGUUUUGCGUAUAACAAAUUAGCAAUCUUGCUAAAAGAUUUCAUUAUAUGCUUAAUGCAAGUCAAGGCAGAUUUUCUUAUGUGUUUACUGCAAGUCAAGGCAGAUUUUCAUAGUAAUAAUUCAUGUGUUAGCAAUAGUAUUGACUGGUUGUUGGUAUUGCAAACAGGUGGAUAAGACUAUAAACAGAGGAGAUUCUGCCGAAUUUUCGUUAGAAAUUAUAUGUAUUUUAGUAGCUAUAAAAAGGGUUAUUUGUGCAAUUAUGUGCUAUGUGUUUAUCUGACUAUGUGGUAUGUGUAAGCGAAGGAUAGCUAUAUAUAGUUCCUAACGCUUUCAGAAUUAGUUAAUCCGUCUGAUCCGACGACUGAAAUACUAUUUUACUAUCGUAUAGAACUGAACGAGACGUUGAUCGAGACGUGAUUGAAAUGGGUAUUCAGAAAUAGCCAAGUGGUGUUGCAAGUUGAAUUAAGGCGAAACUUAGUUAUAAAUCAAAUCUUAUCAGAAGUUGGCAGAAGGGGAUGAUAUGGUGGUAUAUAGUGUCAUUAGAAGUCUGAGCUAGAUACCGGAGUUAAGGCAAGUACUUCUAUCUAUCUUUCCCUUGCAGCAAGUAUUUCUAUUCUCAACUUGUAAUUACUGCAAGUAAUUCUAUUCUGCAUUUAUAUUGAAAGGGCAAGCAUUGUUAUCUUUCUCGUGUGAUUAAAGAUAAGUUAAAUAUUUCUAUUGUUAUAUCUGCAGUUGACAACAUUGCUAGACAUAUAUUAUGUUCUUGAUAGCUGAGAUAGCUACUUGGUUACAUUGAGUUAUAUGGUGGUGAUUUGAAAUAAGAAAAGAAGAGUUUUUGAAUAAAUAUAUAUAUGGUUGCGAAAGAAAUAAAUACAUAUGGUGAAGGGCUAGUGAAUAGCCGGGGGCUAGUGAAUAGCCGGGGGCUAGUGAAUAGCCGGGGGCUAGUGAAUAGCCGUGGGCUAGUGAAUAGCCAAUCAGAAAGCGGAGCAAGAUGCCUAUUGUGUACACCAAUAAUUGUCAUCGGGAGGACUUUAUGUCCGGGGCCCGGGGCACCAAUAAUUGUCACCGGGAGGACUUUAUGUCCGGGGCCCGGGGCACCAAUAAUGGUCACCGGGAGGAUGUUAUGUCCGGGGCCCGGGAUAAGGAUUCUAUUGUCUUGGGAACUGUAAAAGUUAGCGUAAGAGGCUAGUAAACCUAGUCCAGCUGUUGAGGCCAAUUAGAUGCCUAGUGGGUACCCUAGUGUCGUUACCGGUGGGACUUAGAUCCAGUGCCCGGAACGAUCCGUCGUCGGUGGGACUUAGAUCCAGUGCCCGAGACGGAGGACUUUACGUGGCUGAUCACCCGUAUUGUCAGAUGAGUUGAAAGGAAGUUAAUAAUUAAAUAUUCUUAUAAAUGGACUAUAUUCUGAUAAAAGAAUAGUUUGGACCCAUUGUAAUCGAAAUUUUUAUAAAAAGGGGGGCAGUAUGUAAUUGAACUUCAAUUAAUUUGAGGGGAACCUAGAACUGAAUCUCUGUUACAAAUAUUUGAUUUAAUUCAGAUAGUAUGGCAUUGUUAAAAAUUUAGUGUUAUACUUGCUGAGCAUUGCUCACUCUUGCUAUUAUUUCUAACCCUUGCAGCUAAGGAUUAAGGUGGUCACCUGGGUAAGCUGCGCGUAAGAGUAAUGCUAGGCGAGACUGCUAGGGAGGUGGCUGCGAGACUAGUAUGGUUAGAGUUGAAUUAUUUCAAUUCAGUUGUAGAUGGUUUUUAUUUAUUGGUUAUCAGUUAUCCUUCUU